GCCUUUGUGGUGUAACUGGGAGCACGUCCGACCAGCAAUCGGAAGUUUCAGAAGUUCGAAUCCUGGCGAGGGCA
This 74-nucleotide transfer RNA is filed under the name Stegodyphus mimosarum. It matches the Rfam family "tRNA". From Rfam's summary of the family: Transfer RNA (tRNA) molecules are approximately 80 nucleotides in length. Their secondary structure includes four short double-helical elements and three loops (D, anti-codon, and T loops). The record is from Rfam by way of RNAcentral. Lineage: Eukaryota; Metazoa; Arthropoda; Arachnida; Araneae; Eresidae.